Molecule: long non-coding RNA, 1397 nt
Organism: Haplochromis burtoni (Burton's mouthbrooder)
Lineage: Eukaryota; Metazoa; Chordata; Actinopteri; Cichliformes; Cichlidae
Exons: 3
Source: RefSeq, a predicted model, not a curated record
AUCUGAAACAGUAAACAGAGAUAAGAUACUGUAAAGAGGCAAGGGAGGGGCAGUGUUAGUGGGAUCACUGAGUUCACUAAACAGACUGUUUGAACAAGCUGGAAGAAGAAAAAAAUCUUGGCUGUGUUACCUGAAGUUCCUCAGAGCUAAGACUGCCAAGAGGUGAGCUCUGGUAAUUAAUUACAACAUAUGUCAAGUGAAAUGUUCUCAGAAAGAAAAUUGUGAAAUUGCAAAUAGCAUUAAUCAUCUAAGUCUGCAGAGGGUGUUAUAUAUUUACCAUUGGUUGCUGUAGCAUGUAUACAAUCUGUGGAUUCUGUGGAUGAGAAUUCGGUUAGAUAAUUGUAACUCUUUUUUCUUUUUUUUUGCCUUAUUCUGCAUUAUGUAUAUGCAGAGACACCUGUUGUUGCAGCUGCUGCUGUGGCUGCUGUAUUCCCUGAGUUGCAUCUAUUGAAGGAGCAACUGCAACUCCUGCAGCAUUUUCUGCAGGGUUUUAGGGUGUUUCCUGUCUCCAGCAAGCGUGUCUCUUAGCUUACCAGCUGAUUCCCAUAGUGUGAGGAGAACAGCGCUCCCCCGCCUCCUCCUACUAGAGGCUGCUGUGGCAGUGUCAGCUGGUGGGGUCCAUAGAAGAGUGGCUGCAUGGGCAUGCCCCCUUGUGGAUACCAGGGGUACUGUUGCAGUGAAGGAAUGGGCUGUGGAUCAGGCUGCUGUAGACCUCCUGCCUGUGGCUGAACACUGGGAGAAAUAGAGGCUGGCGUAGGAGAUUCGGGUUUCUGGUUUGCGGCUACAACGUGCUGAGCACCUUGAGUUGCUGUUUCCCCUCCUUGUAACAGCAGGGGACGACGGACAUUUGAAUUGACCUGAAAAAGAAAGAAAGAAAGAAGAUGGUAAAAUUAUCACUGAGUCACAGAGUUCAUAGAAUGUCAAAUGUUAAUUAAAUGACAACCAGUAUUAAAUGAAUAAACAUAAAAUUAUCUAAUUAUAUCAAGUAUUGUAUUUUAAACCAUAUUCUAUUAGUCUACUUACUGGUACUGCAGAGACUUCUAUGGUAAAGCAUAACAGCAGCGUUAUGAUAAUCAUUUCCAAAGGGAGAACAAAAUCGAUAUGGUUUUUAAUCAGUUCCACUGGAUCAGUGGGUGCUUUAAGGACUAUCUCCGUGGAGCACUCAGGAGUAAAUUCAUUGAAACUGUAUGGAGGGGUCCUUCAACUUAUGCACUGCUCACAAACUGGAUCAACCAAUCACAUGGCAGACUGAAGAAAGAUAAAUUCAACCUAAUCGUCUGCUGAAUGAAGCAGGGAGGUGGAAACCAAAGAAAAUCUAAUAAGUGUCCUAAACGGCAUGUUUUUCUUCAAUUAUGAUGGUGUAAUGUCUCUUGAAAUAAUUAAACAAACGCAUGAGA